UCUUCCGCAAGGGCGAAACCUUGACGGCCACAACGCCGCGUGAGUGAUGAAGGGUUUCGGCUCGUAAAACUCUGUUAUUUAGGGAAGAACAAACGUGUNAAGUAACUGUGCACGUCUUGACGGUACCUUAAUCAAAAGCCAAGGCGAGAUACGUGCCAACCAGCCGCAGAGAGAGGUAAGUGGCAAGCGUUAUCCGGAAUUUUUGGGCGUAAAGCGCGCCGUAAGCCCGUUUCUUAAGUCUGAUGUGAAAGCCCCACGGCUCAACGUGGGAGGGUCCUUUGGAAACUGGGGAGACUUUGAAUGCCAAAANAAGGAAAGUGGAAUUUCCCUUGUGUAGCGGUGAAAUGCGCAGAGAUAUGGAGGAACACCAGUGGCGAAGGCGACUUUCUGGUCUGUAACUGACGCUGAUGUGCGAAAGCGUGGGGAUCAAACAGGAUUAGAUACCCUGGUAGUCCACGCCGUAAACGAUGAGUGCUAAGUGUUAGGGGGUUUCCGCCCCUUAGUGCUGCAGCUAACGCAUUAAGCACUCCGCCUGGGGAGUACGACCGCAAGGU
Molecule: ribosomal RNA, 554 nt
Filed under: Staphylococcus sp. CRB-33
Lineage: Bacteria; Bacillati; Bacillota; Bacilli; Caryophanales; Staphylococcaceae
Description: bacterial SSU rRNA
Rfam family: Bacterial small subunit ribosomal RNA
Source: RNAcentral